This 433-nucleotide ribosomal RNA is filed under the name uncultured bacterium. RNAcentral describes it as "partial 16S ribosomal RNA". It matches the Rfam family "Bacterial small subunit ribosomal RNA", at positions 29 to 507 of the family's 1533-position model. The record is from RNAcentral.
AACGAACGCUGGCGGCAUGCCUAACACAUGCAAGUCGAACGAGACCUUCGGGUCUAUUGGCGCACGUGUGCGUAACGCGUGGGAACCUGCCCUUAGGUUCGGAAUAACUCCCCGAAAGGGGUGCUAAUACCGGAUAAUGUCUUCGGACCUAAGAUUUAUCGCCUUUGGAUGGGCCCGCGUUGGUUUAGUGAGUUGGUAGGGUAAAAGCCUACUAAGGCGUGGUUCCAUAGCUGGUCGGAGAGGAGGAUAAGCCACACUGGGACUGAGACACGGCCCAGACUCGUACGGGAGGCAGCAGUGGGGAAUAUUGGACGAGGGGCGAAAGCCUGAUCCAGCAAUGCCGCGUGAGUGAUGAAGGCCUUAGGGUUGUAAAGCUCUUUUACCCGGGAUGAUAAUGACAGUACCGGGAGAAUAAGCACCGGCUAACUACGUG